GACGAACGCUAGCGGCGUGCUUAACACAUGCAAGUCGAACGGAAAGGCCCUGCUUUUGUGGGGUGCUCGAGUGGCGAACGGGUGAGUAACACGUGAGUAACCUGCCCUUGACUUUGGGAUAACUUCAGGAAACUGGGGCUAAUACCGGAUAGGAGCUCCUGCUGCAUGGUGGGGGUUGGAAAGUUUCGGCGGUUGGGGAUGGACUCGCGGCUUAUCAGCUUGUUGGUGGGGUAGUGGCUUACCAAGGCUUUGACGGGUAGCCGGCCUGAGAGGGUGACCGGCCACAUUGGGACUGAGAUACGGCCCAGACUCCUACGGGAGGCAGCAGUGGGGAAUAUUGCACAAUGGGCGGAAGCCUGAUGCAGCAACGCCGCGUGCGGGGUGACGGCCUUCGGGUUGUAAACCGCUUUCGCCUGUGACGAAGCGUGAGUGACGGUAAUGGGUAAAGAAGCACCGGCUAACUACGUG
Molecule: ribosomal RNA, 468 nt
Filed under: uncultured bacterium
Lineage: Bacteria
Description: partial 16S ribosomal RNA
Rfam family: Bacterial small subunit ribosomal RNA
Source: RNAcentral